UACGGAGGAGGCAAGCGUUAUCCGGAAUUAUUGGGCGUAAAGCGUCCGUAGGUGGUUUGGUUAGUCUGCUGUUAAAGCUCGAGGCUCAACCUCGAAGGGGCAGUGGAAACUAUCAGACUGGAGAGCAGUAGGGGUAGAGGGAAUUUCCAGAGUAGCGGUGAAAUGCGUAGAGACUGGAAAGAACACCAAUGGCGAAGGCACUCUACUGGGCUGCUUCUGACACUCAUGGACGAAAGCUAGGGGAGCGAAACGG
This 253-nucleotide ribosomal RNA is filed under the name uncultured bacterium. Its description in RNAcentral is "partial 16S ribosomal RNA". It matches the Rfam family "Bacterial small subunit ribosomal RNA", at positions 524 to 776 of the family's 1533-position model. The record is from RNAcentral.